RNAcentral lists this unclassified non-coding RNA (2217 nucleotides) under Patiria miniata (bat star). Its description in RNAcentral is "vitamin D(3) 25-hydroxylase-like, transcript variant X1". The record is from RNAcentral. Lineage: Eukaryota; Metazoa; Echinodermata; Asteroidea; Valvatida; Asterinidae.
CAUAUACUCAAGACUAGUCCUGAGUCGGAUCAUUUUCAUCGCCGGUGUCUGGUCAGUAAACCUUGGUCUCCAGAUCCUUAUAGCGGACAUAUCUGUCUGCCAACAUGACGAUCACAGACAAAGUCAUCUCCGUUUUGGCCAACACGUACUACAUAUCAACCGUGCCUUUCCUCCUGUGUGCGGUCGUGACUUUCUUGGUCACGACGCUGAUAUGGCGGCGACUGACGUACUGGAGCAAAUACACCUGGCCGCCCGGGCCUCGGGGCUGGCCCUUGGUCGGUAAUUCACCGCUGAUCGCUCCAAACUCUGGACAGACCAAUGCCAAUAUCACCAGGAUUGGAAAGCAGUACCAUCCAGAUAUGUUUACGUUGACUUUGUACUUGGGAAAGCGCAUGCUCAUAUUAAACAGCUUCGAAUCCAUUAAAGACGCCUUCGUGAAGCAUUCAGCAUUGGUUUCUGACCGUCCUAGUGUGUGGCCAUUUACGUAUGUCAAUGAAAAUCAACGGAAUGUUGGUGUCUUCUUUGAGGAUUUCACGGAGAGUUGGAAGAGAGAGAAGAAGUACAUGAUGCGAACCGUCCGUCAGUUUGGCUACGGUACCUCCGGCUCGGAAAGCAUCAUCCUCCAAGAAGCUAAUCACCUGGCCGAGCUGAUCAAGAAGAGAGGCGGGGAGCCAUUUGAGCUCGGCCUCCCUCUCAGCCUCUGCCUCCUCAACGUGACCUUCUCCAUGAUCCUCGGUACCACCUACGAGGAAGAUGACAAGGAGUUCUCCAAAAUCUUGAGCUAUGUCCUGGAAUGGUUUUUGGAAAUCUUCAAACUAUACGACGUGGAGCCGAUGUUGCCCUUCUAUCACAAGUUCGGCCUCAGCCCUCGACUGAACAAGGGAAAGAUGAUGACAAAGGAUCUGCUGGCGUUCGUACAGAAGCAUAUUCACAAUCAUAAGGCCACCCUGGACCCAGGCCAUCCUCGCGACAUGGUGGACGCGUGUCUGAUCGAGAUGGCUAAAGGUGACCCCAACAGUGACCUGAGAGAGUUCACCGACGAGAAGUUCUUGUGGAUGCUGUUCUUCUUCAUCCCGGACCAGGGAGACACGGCCUCGGGUCUAUUCCUCUUCCUGAUGCUGGCCACUGCCCUGCAUCCUGAGGUGCAGCAGCGCGUCUUCCAGGAGAUUCAAGACGUCAUCGGGGACCAGCCGCCUUCGCUAAAGGAUAAAGAGAAGAUGCCGUACACGGAGGCUGUUAUCCUGGAGACCCUUCGCAUGGAUACCACCUUCUGGCUUAUAAUCCCGCACGUCACUGCAGAUGAUGUUGAGAUUCUCGGCUACAAGAUUCCAAAGGGUACCACGGUCAUUCCAAACAUCUACGCGGUGCACUUUGAUCCGGAGCUGUGGGGUGAUCCGGAAAACUUCCGACCUGAGAGGUUUAUCGACGAACAAGGCCGCAUUAAUCGACCAGAUUACUUCAUUCCCUACUCAACCGGACGCAGGGCGUGUAUUGGCGAGCAACUUUCCCAGAAACAGUUCUUCCUGUUCUACAUCACAUUGAUCCAGAAGUACAAGUUCAAGCUCCCAGAUGGUGACCCCAUACCCAAGUUGGAAUCGCAGUGGUUGUGGGUUAGCCCUCCCGACUAUCGUCUGCAAGCGGAGCCCAGGGAGUAAACGAGAAGUAAUCGUGGAAAAACUCUCAACACGCUGUUAUAAACACUUGCUGUAGCACUAGGGGUCGUAACGGCUCUUAUAAAAUGCCUGUUAUUAUAGGAUUUGAAGACUUACCGGAUAGGACUGUCGUUAGCGGCGCAUUCAGUAUUAUAGAGCCGUACGUACGUUUUUUCAGGAAGGUGUGACCCAUUUACAUGAAUAAAAUGAGUAGUUUCGAUGGAAUCAUUCGCUCUUUGCACGCUCCCGCCAUAAGCAUGCAGAGCCUCGAUCUGGCAACCUUACACAAUAAAUUUAGCCGGUUCAGUGGUUCCCAUGUCAGGGUUCAGUACACGGGAAUCACUGAACCGUCUAUUUUUGUUGUGUAAAGUUGCCAGAUCGAGGCUCUGCAUGCUUAUGGCGGAGCGUGCAAAGAGCGAAUUGCAAGGCUGCAGGUUCUCGUACUAUUUCCCAUAUACAGGGUAGUCCAUAACAAUGCCUUUAUCAAUUACAAUGUAAGUCAACUUCCCGGUCGCGGUUUAGUAAUUCAUCGGGACAAAAAUGACCCCACCUUGCUUCACAAAAU